CUUGACUGUUGGCUAACGGCGCGUAGUUUCUGAAUCUAAUCUAAUUAAUUAUUUAUUUAUUAGUACUAAUACGUGUUAUUGAUAUAUCUUUUUUGGAGACUUUGAUUAUAUCAGCUCGAGAUUUUGAAUUUUAGAUGGUGAAGGAGGACAUGAGUCGCGGUGAAGGAGAAAUCAAGAAGACGACGGCGGUGGUGAAGAGAUCAUGGAGACGGUCUAUGUGGACGAUAGCAUUGGUCACGGCGUUGAUCCCUGUGUUGUUGGCUAUGGCAGUGAAAACAGAAGUUUCGACGGCGCUGACGCUAGCAUUGAAGACGGCUGUGACGUCCAGAGCUGCAUCUAAAUCUUUUCUGUUUAGUAACAAUGACAAGUCCUGUCAUUGUUCUUCUCAGGAAUCAGGGAAGUAUAGGGGCAUUGUUGAGGACUGCUGUUGUGAUUAUGAGACAGUAGACAGUGUUAAUGCAGAGGUUUUGCACCCUCUGCUACAAGAACUUGUUAAAACUCCCUUUUUCCGAUACUUUAAGGUUAAGUUGUGGUGUGAUUGCCCCUUUUGGCCUGAUGAUGGAAUGUGCCGGUUGCGUGAUUGCAGUGUCUGUGAAUGUCCAGAAAGUGAAUUUCCAGAACCAUUUAAGAAGCCAUUCCCUUCAGAUGAUGUGAUAUGUCAAGAGGGAAAGCCAGAGGCAGCUGUUGACCGCACGCUAGACAAUAGAGCCUUCAGAGGCUGGAUAGAAACAGAUAACCCAUGGACAAGUGAUGAUGAGACUGAUAAUGGUGAGAUGACAUAUGUAAAUCUUCUGCUAAACCCUGAACGUUACACUGGCUAUGCUGGUCCAUCAGCUAGGAGGAUAUGGGAUGCUAUUUAUACAGAGAAUUGUCCAAAAUAUUCGUCAGGAGAGAUAUGCCCGGAGAAAAAGGUUUUGUACAAAUUAAUAUCGGGUCUUCACUCUUCAAUUUCAAUCCACAUAGCUGCUGAUUAUCUUCUUGAUGAAGCUACCAAUCUGUGGGGUCAGAAUCUGGAGUUGAUGUAUGAUCGUGUUUUAAAAUAUCAGGAUCGUGUUAGAAACUUAUAUUUCGCAUUCCUUUUUGUUCUGCGUGCAGUGACUAAAGCUGCAGAUUACUUGGAGCAGGCUGAGUAUGAUACUGGUAACAAUAUAGAGGACCUGAAAACACAAUCUUUGAUGAAGCAGCUGCUUUACAAUCCCAAACUCCAAGCAGCAUGUCCUGUUCCAUUUGAUGAGGCUAAACUUUGGCAAGGUCAAAGUGGACCUGAACUGAAGUUACAGAUUCAAAAGCAAUUCAGGAACAUUAGUGCAUUGAUGGAUUGUGUUGGCUGUGAGAAGUGUAGACUUUGGGGAAAACUUCAGGUUCUUGGUCUUGGCACUGCAUUAAAGAUCCUCUUUUCUGUAGACGGUCAUAAUCAGAAAGCUCAACGUCUGCUGUUGCAACACAAUGAAGUGAUUGCUCUGGUAAACUUGCUCAAUCGACUCUCAGAAUCUGUCAAAAUUGUGCAUGAAAUGGGACCAUCAAUUGAGAGAUUAAUGGAAAAACAGACGGCUGACCCUUCUACACCAGAAUUUAACAUGUGGCGAAGAAUACGGGAGUCAGUGUUGCAGCUUUGGUAACAACUCUGCUUAACAGGCAUAUCCAUUUCAUUGUGAAGGGCGCCACCCUAACAAUUCUGAGAAGUUCAGUUAAUUACUCAGAAGGAUGAAAGAACUGUAGAUCAGAGUAUCAGAAACUGCUUCGUUCUGGAGGUGAUACAAAUGUACACAUGCAUACAAGAGUUAAAAAAGAGUGUAGAGGAAAUGAAAUAUCCAAGAGAAAUUGCACUUCUUUUACUAUCCAAAAUAGCCUGCAAAAUUGGAGCUAGUGCAGAAGAGGGUUGACGCAAUGUAGGUGAGAUUUGUAUGUUAGCAUAGACUAGUUUGAGUAAAGAAACAUGGAAUACAUUAUGUAUUUGUGGGUCUGCAAAAAGCUUCGGCUUGUAGGUUAUAGCACCAGUGGUAUCUUCAAUUUGCAAUGGACCAAAGUCUACCUUAGUGCAUGGAAACUUGUGGAAUUGCCUCUUAGACUAAUUCUUGUCUGUCAAAAUUUUCAUUCCUUUCUGAGCCUUUUGAAGAUGGUGCGUGGUAACUUAGAGUAGCUUCUGUUGUUUUGAGAAAUGUGUUUAUUGCCUCAACCUUUGAAUAAUUAGGAAAAUAAGGUACAUGGAUUGGUGGUGCGUAACCAUAGGGAACUCUAAGAGGAGACAUCUUAAUACCAGUGUGAUGACAACAUUCCCUUUGCCCUUUUA
Mangifera indica (mango) is the source of this 2290-nucleotide RNA transcript. It is a transcript of the gene named endoplasmic reticulum oxidoreductin-1-like, with no coding region annotated. The record is from RefSeq and is a predicted model, not a curated record. Lineage: Eukaryota; Viridiplantae; Streptophyta; Magnoliopsida; Sapindales; Anacardiaceae. The transcript has 10 exons.